Molecule: ribosomal RNA, 253 nt
Filed under: uncultured bacterium
Lineage: Bacteria
Description: partial 16S ribosomal RNA
Rfam family: Bacterial small subunit ribosomal RNA
Source: RNAcentral
UACAGAGGGUGCGAGCGUUAAUCGGAUUUACUGGGCGUAAAGCGUGCGUAGGCGGCUUUUUAAGUCGGAUGUGAAAUCCCUGAGCUUAACUUAGGAAUUGCAUUCGAUACUGGAGGGCUAGAGUAUGGGAGAGGAUGGUAGAAUUCCAGGUGUAGCGGUGAAAUGCGUAGAGAUCUGGAGGAAUACCGAUGGCGAAGGCAGCCAUCUGGCCUAAUACUGACGCUGAGGUACGAAAGCAUGGGGAGCAAACAGG